ACCACUAGAAAUUGGAAUGUGUCGCUUUGCUAAACCUAUAUUCCGACUCUGGAGUUUUAGAUGGGUGAAUCCUUAAUUAGCCUCACUGAGACAGGAAGCAUCACAGACUGACAACUAUUCAGGAGAAAUGAUUGGAAAGAAAGCAACACUGAAUAGGCUACAAGAAAAAAAAAGGAGAAGGUGAAGACAGCAGACUGCAGGAGCAUGAGUUGCAUUCCUGACCCUGGCUUUAGUCGUAAGAUGGAGAGGAAUGUGUGAGGACCCACGCACACACACCAAAGCUUCAGCAGGUGAAGAAUCUGGAAAUCCAGCGUCUAUGUAGUUCAUGACUGACAUCUCAAUGAAGAUGGAGGGGGGAAGGGGUAUGAGGUCAGAUGAGCUGAACUGAAAGGGUUGAUACGGAAAGGCGUUUUGAUAUGGAUGGCUAUCAAGUGUCAGUUUGACAUGGAGGAAAAAGGAAAAGCAAAUUAGGGAACAUUUGUUACGGCUUUGGUAAAAAUAGGCAGAGAAAGAAGGGACUAUGGGAG
Long non-coding RNA from Cyprinus carpio carpio, 527 nucleotides. The record is from Ensembl. NCBI's taxonomy places the organism in Eukaryota, Metazoa, Chordata, Actinopteri, Cypriniformes, Cyprinidae.